ACCUCAAGGCAGCUCGUCCGCCUGUGAGGCAGGAUUUCCGAGGAGCCCACUAGGUGGUGCGUGAGCUGCGGCGAUGGUGACCGGCUGCGCUGGACCAGUCACCGCCCGCCUCCCAGGACCCCCCUCAGGCCAGAGGCCCCCAGCUCACAAGCCGGCCCUGAAUCAUCCCCGUUCCUGGGCCCGUCUCCACGUUCUUUCUCUGGGAAAGCAGGGCCCAGGCUUCUGCUCCCUCUUCAAUACAGCACACAUGAACACUUUGGGAGUGUCACCUUAAAAAUAAAAAACACAACGUGAGAGUUGAGAGUUAAGUUUUACUUGGGACAGAAUGAGGACUAGAACCUGGGUGGCAGCAUUCAGAGAGACCCAAGAAACUACUCCAAAAAACUGGGACCUCAGUGAGUCCGGACACCAGGCCAAGUGUGGAAAAGAAAGGAAGAAGGAAGAGAGGAGGCAUCCGUUGAUGAACUUCAGAUGCCAAGAUAAAGGAGACUUGCUUUUCGACGAGAUGACACUGGCCCUGCUGGUCGGGCUUCCGGGGAGAGGAGGUCUGAACUGCUCGGCUGCUGUCUACUGGCUGAUAAUGGGAUGAAAACAACACACAUCAAACAGUGAGCGGGGCUGUUAACAAGGUAGCCCUUCCUGGGAUCCUGGCGCCUUCAUCCAGUCAGGCCGGUGCCUUGAGCACCCACCCAAAAGUGGCGAGGGGAGUUCCUUGGGACCCUUCAAGUCCUAGCGUGUGGGUGAGAGCCCCCGGCUCCAGGAACGGCAAGCGGCAGGUAAGUCUUCCUGGAAGGCGCCGUCCCCCUCUCCGGGCUGGCUCUGCAGCCUUUCCCUCGGAGUCACACUGGCUCUGCAGCCUUUCCCUCGGAGUCGCAGUCUAGGAAGCAGGCUCCUCGCUAAGUAUUUGGCAUUUGAUCCUCAGAACGGUCAUCUUGCCGGAACUCGGCCUCUGUUCGCUGGUGCUCAAUAGAAACGCGGAGACGGAGCUUUGGAUGAAGUAGAGAAGGCAGGCCUGAUUGCUUUGCCAGGAAGGGGGGGCCACAGCGGGCCAGGGCCCUCGGAACUUUUGGGGGGGCGGUGAGGAGUCUCACAGUGUCAAGGAGCAGAGCGUGGCCAGCUCGUGGGCGUUCUUCUGAUGGGUGGGUGGUGAGGUCACGGGGAGUCCGCGCCGUCACCCCUCUGGUUCCAGUUGGUCUGGGGUCUCCGUGCUUGUGGGCAGCACAUGGUUGGCUUCCUCCCCGUGGUGGGGGUGAACCGCUCCGAGGACAUGGCUCAGAAUAGUAUCUCUGGUCUUUGAGAAAGAAUGUAAGGUCCUUGACUUUGUUGAGUGGCUAAAGUAUUAUUUUGUCUUGCUGGACUGCUUUUCCUUUCGCUUUGCAUUUUCUCACGUCUCUGAUUAAGUUUGAUUUUUUGGACUAAAGUUUUUCUACAGACCAAAGGCAGGCAGAGGACCUGGGGGCGGGGGCGGGAUCUGUUCUGGGAAGGCCCCAUAGCGUCCGGCUCGGUUACCCUAAAGAGAGGUAUUUUUUCCCCAUUUGACAGUUGGGAGAAGGGAACCCCAACAGCAAAAAUGUCUCAGGAGGACUCAGGCCUCCUGAAACAGCAUGGCCCCUGCUGCCCCUGUGGCUUUUCUGAAGAUGCAGCCCAGUUGAGUCUGAUUUGCUGAUUAUUGCAGACCUCUGGGCAUGAAGCUCUGAAAUCGAGAAGCGGGUGUGGCUGGUGAUGAACAGGUAAACCGCACAGUCAGCUCAGCUCAUGGAGAGUCCAGUGUCUGUUGUUGUUGCUGUCAUCCUCUGGGGAAGCCAGUUUUUAGUGCUCAAAGUUUAGUAAAACAAUUUCCUACACUCGUUUAAUCAUUUCCACUUUACAAACAAACUGAGGUUUCAGCAUACCAGGGAACUUGUCCUGGCUGAUUCUGCAGGUUACGGGGAGCCAGGACUUCUGACCCAAGUCUGGAGGGAUGCUUCUCUGGCUUGGAGGAUCAAUGAAAAAUCAAAUCUGAGUUGUUCCACUGAGGUGAUGGAGUGUGCGAUUACUACAGCCUCUUAGAUAUUUAAAAUCGUAUGUUGCAAAAGACCAGUCCUACCCAUUUGCUGGGUGAGCGGGUGUUGGUACCACAAGCCAUCCUCAUACUUAAGCACAGUGGAUUGGAACGUACGGCAAAUAAACAGCGUUUUUUCCUGGCUCAGUGAGGGUAACGGCUGCUUUUGAAGAAUUAUUGCAGGUGUUUCUAGGCGAUGAAUAAAGUUACUGAGGUCGUGCAGGUGGAGCAUCUAGGCAUGGAAUUUAGAAAUUUCAAGAACUCGAAAAUUUUCCUUCCACCCCCUCCAGCUCACACAGUGAACAUGAUUAAGCGCUUCACGGGGUAGGACCCUGCGGAGGCCACCGAGGUGGGCGACACGGCUCCCCUCCCAGACCCCAUGUGGUCGGGAAACUGCACUGAAGGGCUCUGGCCGCACUGCAGAGGGUCUCACGGUGUCCAGCGGGCCAGCUCCCAGGGGCCCUAACGGAAAGAAGAAUGGACGGAUGAAAAUCCGAAAGUCCCCAGGCCGUCCUCUCCCCACAGCCCGUCUGGAGGCACCCCAGAGGCCGACUGACUCUUUGCCUCUAAAUAUUUCAUCUGUGUGGCAACGGGACAGACUCAGGUGAGAAAACUGGAGUCAGUGUCACAGGGCCAACUUGGGCAGCCCUUUGGCGAGGCCACCUGCUUGAGUAGCCGGACGAUGGUAGUUAGGGAGGUCAGACGCCUCAUCUAAGCCCUCGCUUGGCCGCUUAUGGUCUGCCCUCCGUUUUGUCUUACUUUCUAUCAUAGGAUGAUGCUGAGGGGCC
RNAcentral lists this long non-coding RNA (2829 nucleotides) under Sus scrofa (pig). Its description in RNAcentral is "lncRNA (ENSSSCG00030005259.1)". Lineage: Eukaryota; Metazoa; Chordata; Mammalia; Artiodactyla; Suidae. The record is from RNAcentral.